This 621-nucleotide ribosomal RNA is filed under the name Salmonella enterica subsp. enterica serovar Enteritidis. RNAcentral's name for it is "partial 23S ribosomal RNA". It matches the Rfam family "Bacterial large subunit ribosomal RNA", at positions 592 to 1214 of the family's 2925-position model. The record is from RNAcentral. Lineage: Bacteria; Pseudomonadati; Pseudomonadota; Gammaproteobacteria; Enterobacterales; Enterobacteriaceae.
UGUGACUGCGUACCUUUUGUAUAAUGGGUCAGCGACUUAUAUUCUGUAGCAAGGUUAACCGAAUAGGGGAGCCGGAGGGAAACCGAGUCUUAAUUGGGCGUUAAGUUGCAGGGUAUAGACCCGAAACCCGGUGAUCUAGCCAUGGGCAGGUUGAAGGUUGGGUAACACUAACUGGAGGACCGAACCGACUAAUGUUGAAAAAUUAGCGGAUGACCUGUGGCUGGGGGUGAAAGGCCAAUCAAACCGGGAGAUAGCUGGUUCUCCCCGAAAGCUAUUUAGGUAGCGCCUCGUGAAUUCAUCUCCGGGGGUAGAGCACUGUUUCGGCUAGGGGGCCAUCCCGGCUUACCAACCCGAUGCAAACUGCGAAUACCGGAGAAUGUUAUCACGGGAGACACACGGCGGGUGCUAACGUCCGUCGUGAAGAGGGAAACAACCCAGACCGCCAGCUAAGGUCCCAAAGUCAUGGUUAAGUGGGAAACGAUGUGGGAAGGCCCAGACAGCCAGGAUGUUGGCUUAGAAGCAGCCAUCAUUUAAAGAAAGCGUAAUAGCUCACUGGUCGAGUCGGCCUGCGCGGAAGAUGUAACGGGGCUAAACCAUGCACCGAAGCUGCGGCAGCGACAC